UACGGAGGAUGCGAGCGUUAUCCGGAUUUAUUGGGUUUAAAGGGUGCGUAGGCGGGAUGCCAAGUCAGCGGUAAAAAUGCGGUGCUCAACGCCGUCGGGCCGUUGAAACUGGCGUUCUUGAGUGGGCGAGAAGUAUGCGGAAUGCGUGGUGUAGCGGUGAAAUGCAUAGAUAUCACGCAGAACUCCGAUUGCGAAGGCAGCAUACCGGCGCCCUACUGACGCUGAGGCACGAAAGCGCGGGUAUCGAACAGG
RNAcentral lists this ribosomal RNA (252 nucleotides) under uncultured bacterium. RNAcentral's name for it is "partial 16S ribosomal RNA". It matches the Rfam family "Bacterial small subunit ribosomal RNA", at positions 524 to 776 of the family's 1533-position model. The record is from RNAcentral.